Molecule: long non-coding RNA, 1766 nt
Filed under: Homo sapiens (human)
Lineage: Eukaryota; Metazoa; Chordata; Mammalia; Primates; Hominidae
Description: HSALNT0360287
Source: RNAcentral
GGAAGUCUUUCCUGCCAGGAGAUGUUCAUUGAAGUGCAGACUGCUCGGAGCCACACCGCAGGCUGGCAGAGGAAGUGUCUCGGUGUUGCCUUGGCCCGUUCACCCCCUGCCAGGCCAGUAGAGGAGCUGAAGAGUCUUCGCCAUGGUUUGAGAAAAAGCUUAUAGAGGCCUGAGGCUGGAGGCAGGGGGAUCAGUGAGGAGGCUGCAGCAUCAGUCCAGUUUUACCAGGUAUACUUGUUUCACCGGGGAAUAGGUCUGUAGAACUCACACUGCCAUCCAGGAAGUGAAACUCCCCGGUACAGGCAUACCAUGGACAUAUUUCGGGUUCAGCUCCAGACCACCACAGUGAAGUGAAUAUUGCAACUAAGCAAGUCACGCAUGUUUUUUCUUUGUUUCUCAGUGAAUAUAAGCAUCUCCAAGCCUCUCUCCAAGUUCGCUCCAGGGCUUGCGAGAAACAAAGUGCUCUCCCUCAGCCCCAGCUCCUCGCACACCCAGUGGAAAGAAAACACUUGCUGUAAUUGGAAAGCCCCGAGAAGGUUGAGAGCACUUUUGUUUUCUUCAUCUCUGCGUCCUUAUUUCUUGGAACACUACCUGGCAAACCAUGGGUGCACCAUGCAGCAAGUUAAGGUCGCCGAAGUAGAAUUGCGUAUUAAGCCAGUGUCUCCAUCCAGACUUUUUUUUAGCAAGCAUACCUUAGGAAACUGAACUUCGCUUGAAACUGAAACUACCCUCCCAAAAUCAUCUCCAAGGGUUAUUUACAGACUAAAUGAGACAGUGUAUAUCUAACAUUGCUUUGUGGAUGCUAUCAAGUGCUGGCAAAUGUGUGGGAGAAUGAAUGGAAAACUUCAUCAAUUUCUAGGAUAGUAAAUUGGUGCUGCUAUUUUGGAGAGCAAUUUGUCAGCCUUCAGGGGAAACUGAAUAUGCACAUCCUCUAAGACCCAGCAGUUUCACUUCAAAGAAAAUUUCUUAUAUGCACAGAGACUUGUACAAGGAUAUUUAUCACAGCACUGUUUGUAAUAACAAAGGGCUGGAAAUAAACCAAAUGGCCAAUGAUAAGAAUUGAUAAAUGUGGUAAAUGCCUAAAAUAGAAUGUCACACAGCAGUUAAAAAAUCAUUUAUUCACUAAUUAAGCAAAGGACAAAAAGCCUCAACAGAAAAAAAAAGACAAAAGCCUUGAAUAGUCACUUUGCCAAAUGUUCAAUACACGUACAAAAACAUGGGCAAGUUCAUUGGUUGUCAAGGAAGUUCGAAUUAAAGCCACAUUUUGCAGGUACAACACUGGCACAAGUUUAAGUCUGAUGAUACCAAGUCUUGGAGAAGGUUGAAGCUACUGGAAAACCUGCCCUCUGCUGGUGGGAGUGCAAAUUGCUCCAAGCUCUUUGGACAAUAAUUUGGCAUCCUCUAGUGAAGUUGAAGAUGUGUGUGCUUGAGACUCAGCAAUUCCCCUUUGUGACAUCAGGAUGCUCCCGCACAUAUGCUUAAGAACAUUCAUGCCAGCUUUGUUUAUAUAACAAAAACGUGGAAAUAACCCAAAUGUCUGAGGAUGGGGAAUGGACAAAUAAUGGUUCAUAGUUAUGAAAAUGAAUACACAACAGCUACAAGCAUCUACUGGAAUGAAUCUCACAUGCAUUGUGUUGUAGAAGAAUAUGUAUAAUUCCAUUUAUGUAAAGUUUAAAAGCAUGCACAACUAAAUGAUAUGUUAUUUAUGAGUAUAUGACAUAUAUGAUAAAGGCAAAGAAUAAAUAAAGUAAGGAAAGGUAAGACAA